This 465-nucleotide ribosomal RNA is filed under the name uncultured bacterium. RNAcentral describes it as "partial 16S ribosomal RNA". It matches the Rfam family "Bacterial small subunit ribosomal RNA", at positions 28 to 507 of the family's 1533-position model. The record is from RNAcentral.
GACGAACGCUGGCGGCAUGCUUAACACAUGCAAGUCGAACGGAAAGGCCCUGCUUGCAGGGUACUCGGGUGGCGAACGGGUGAGUAACGCGUGUAGGAUCUGCCCUGCACUUCGGGAUAAGCCUUGAUAACUGGGUCUAAUACCGGACAGGAGCCUUUUUUCGUGUGGUUGUUGGCAAGUUUGUUCGGUGUAGGAUUAGCGCGCGGCCUAUCAGCUUGUUGGUGGGGUAAUGGCCUACCGAGGCGGCGACGGGUAGCCGGACUGGGAGGGUGGACGGGCACAUUGGGACUGAGACUCGGACCCGGCUCCGACUGGAGGCAGCAGUAGGGAAUAGUGCACAAUGGGAGUAAGCCUGAUGCAGCGACGGCGCGUGGGGGAUGACGGCCUUGGGGUUGGAAACGUCUUUCGCUAUGGACCAAGCUGUUUGUGACGGUACCUAGAUAAGAAGCACCGGCUAACUACGUG